RNAcentral lists this unclassified non-coding RNA (410 nucleotides) under Hevea brasiliensis (rubber tree). The record is from RNAcentral. Lineage: Eukaryota; Viridiplantae; Streptophyta; Magnoliopsida; Malpighiales; Euphorbiaceae.
UAAAUCUUGUAUGCGUAACCUAGCCAGAAUCAGUUAAAUUUUCCUUCUUUACAAACUAUUUCUUCCACUGUUCAUGAGUGCAAAUACACUAGCAUCUAACUGUUCAUUUUCAACUUUGUUCUAUAACUUUUGUAUUAUCUCAUUUACAAACAUCUAUUAUCCGUGUGAUUGAUGUUUUCCCCUUCGAAACUAGAUUAGUUGAGAAAUAUCUGAAGGGUUAUUGACUGAUAAUGUCAAUCCAAGUUCAGUUCCCAUAAAUACUAGAUACCUACCGUGCUUCAUCUUUUUUCCUUCUUGAAUUUUCCUUGCACUUGUGAACUAUAGUCUGUUUUGAUCAAGAUUUCCUUUUCUCCAUUUACCUUCUCUUCGAUGUAGGGAAAUUGGGGUUUAUAUAGAUCUCUAGUGUUAUA